AUUGAACGCUGAUGGUAUGCUUAACACAUGCAAGUCGGGCGGCAGCGGGUUAGUAGCAAUACUAAUGCCGGCGAGCGGCGGACGAGUGAGAAACGCGUAGGAAUCUGCCUUUUAGUGGGGGACAACUUAGGGAAACUUGAGCUAAUACCGCAUAAUACCUGAGGGUUAAAGGCUUCGGCCGCUAGAAGAUGAGCCUGCGUUGGAUUAGCUAGUUGGUAGGGUAAAGGCCUACCAAGGCGACGAUCCAUAGCUGUUCUGAGAGGAAGAUCAGCCACACUGGGACUGAGACACGGCCCAGACUCCUACGGGAGGCAGCAGUGGGGAAUAUUGGACAAUGGGGGAAACCCUGAUCCAGCAAUACCAUGUGUGUGAAGAAGGCCUUCGGGUUGUAAAGCACUUUAGUCAAUGAGGAAGGUCACGCAAGUGGCUUGACGUUAGUUGAAGAAUAAGCACCGGCUAACCCUGUG
Molecule: ribosomal RNA, 467 nt
Filed under: uncultured bacterium
Lineage: Bacteria
Description: partial 16S ribosomal RNA
Rfam family: Bacterial small subunit ribosomal RNA
Source: RNAcentral